RNAcentral lists this ribosomal RNA (609 nucleotides) under uncultured Ascomycota. RNAcentral's name for it is "eukaryotic LSU rRNA". The stretch from base 244 to 397 matches the Rfam family "5.8S ribosomal RNA". The record is from RNAcentral. Lineage: Eukaryota; Fungi; Ascomycota.
GGAUCAUUACUAGAGCAAAGGAUAGACAGCGCCCGCGGAGCUCGCUCCCGGGGCUACCCUACUCCCGUAGGGUUUAGAGUCGUCGGGCCUCUCGGAGAAGCUCGGUCCUGAACUCCACCCUUGAAUAAACUACCUUUGUUGCUUUGGCGGGCCGCCUCGUGCCAGCGGCUUCGGCUGUUGAGUGCCCGCCAGAGGACCCCAACUCUUGUUUUUAGUGAUGUCUGAGUACUAUAUAAUAGUUAAAACUUUCAACAACGGAUCUCUUGGUUCUGGCAUCGAUGAAGAACGCAGCGAAAUGCGAUAAGUAAUGUGAAUUGCAGAAUUCAGUGAAUCAUCGAAUCUUUGAACGCACAUUGCGCCCUCUGGUAUUCCGGGGGGCAUGCCUGUUCGAGCGUCAUUAUAACCACUCAAGCUCUCGCUUGGUAUUGGGGUUCGCGGUUUCGCGGCCCCUAAAAUCAGUGGCGGUGCCUGUCGGCUCUACGCGUAGUAAUACUCCUCGCGAUUGAGUCCGGUAGGUCUACUUGCCAGCAACCCCUAAUUUUUUUUAAGGUUGACCUCGGAUCAGGUAGGGAUACCCGCUGAACUUAAGCAUAUCAAUAAGCGGAGGAA